GACGAACGCUGGCGGCGUGCUUAACACAUGCAAGUCGAGCGAUGAAGCACCUUCGGGUGUGGAUUAGCGGCGAACGGGUGAGGAACACGUGAGGAAUCUGCCUUCCACUCUGGGAUAACUCCGGGAAACCGGGGCUAAUACCGGAUACUUUCAACUGGCGGCAUCGCCGGUUGAAGAAAGUUUUUCGGUGGAAGAUGACCUCGCGGCCUAUCAGCUUGUUGGUGAGGUAAUGGCUCACCAAGGCGACGACGGGUAGCCGGCCGGAGAGGGCGACCGGCCACACUGGGACGGAGACACGGCCCAGACUCCUACGGGAGGCAGCAGUGGGGAAUAUUGGGCAAUGGAGGAAACUCUGACCCAGCGACGCCGCGUGAGGGAUGAAGGCCUUCGGGUUGUAAACCUCUUUCAGCAGGGAAUAAGCGAAAGUGACGGUACCUGCAGAAGAAGCACCGGCUAACUAUGUGCCAGCCGCCGCCGUAA
This 480-nucleotide ribosomal RNA is filed under the name uncultured bacterium. RNAcentral's name for it is "partial 16S ribosomal RNA". It matches the Rfam family "Bacterial small subunit ribosomal RNA", at positions 28 to 523 of the family's 1533-position model. The record is from RNAcentral.